This 106-nucleotide ribosomal RNA is filed under the name Minisyncoccota bacterium. Lineage: Bacteria; Bacillati; Minisyncoccota. The record is from RNAcentral.
GUUGGUGAUCUAUCGUAAGGGAAACACCUCUUUCCAUUCCGAACAGAGAAGUUAAGCCUUACUGAGCCGAUGAUAGUCUUCGGGCGAAAGUAGGUUGUCGCCAACA